Molecule: transfer RNA, 69 nt
Filed under: Antilochus coquebertii
Lineage: Eukaryota; Metazoa; Arthropoda; Insecta; Hemiptera; Pyrrhocoridae
Description: tRNA-Val
Source: RNAcentral
CAAGCUAGAUCCUUAGAGGAUUUGUUAUUUACAUUAACAAUUAAAUUUGUGCGAAUCAAUUUGGCUUGA